Molecule: long non-coding RNA, 2121 nt
Organism: Bos taurus (domestic cattle)
Lineage: Eukaryota; Metazoa; Chordata; Mammalia; Artiodactyla; Bovidae
Source: Ensembl
GUACAUAUAAGGUAGACAUAUUUUUCGGUAAACAUUGAUUGAUAAAUUUCAGGUCCAAAAAAUUACCAACAUUUCAGUAACAUCUUUAAAUGGAUUUGUAUUUUAUUUAAGACAAAACUUUACAGACACUUAAAAACUAGUCAUACAUAUAGAGGCAAGACCUAUGAAUGACUUAAUCAAUAGACAAUGCCUAGUAAUCUUGUGGACUGGAGCAUACUUUGCAUUCUUCUCUUCCAUGGGGUAAGAACAACUAUUGAUUAAGCCAACCAAAUCUUCCCCUCCCAUUCGAUGACUAAAUAAGCAGCCUGGAGAGGAAACAGAACCUUCUCAAACGCACUGUUGGGCUGCACCUGCAGGCCUGUAAGCCCUAUACUUGCUCAGCCACAAGACAGAAGAAAGAGCUCAGAGACAGAGACACAAUGCUUUAUUGACAGAAGAUCUCAUCACAAAAUGGUCCUGGAAUGACAUUCCUUUGUGGAUGCGGACAACAGGCAGCCAUCUUUGCUACCGUGGUGGGAGGGAGGUUACCAGUUAUGGAGGGAACUGACAUCAGGUUGGUUCAUUGGUUACCAGGGAAAUGAUCAGAGGCACGUGCCCCUCACUACCCUUUGAUAAACUGUCCUAAUGGAGACCUUCUGAUCUAAAGUUUAGAACAAUCACUAGCUGGGGCCAGCGGGCAAGUACCUAGGCAUUUACUGAUUAGGUUCUAUGAUCAAGAGGGAAGGUCAGUCAGAUGAGUAGAGUAUAGGUGAGGCAGGGACUGAUUGAGCAGGGGAGGUAGAGAGAGAGAACAGCCAUCCUGGAUGGCCUGAUCAUACACCCACUCACUAUUUGAAGUUAAAACUUGAAGCAGUUUCACAACCAAAAUUUGUUGCAUCUAGGGGCAUUGAAAUAGGAGGUGUUGACUGGGCAGAAGACAUCUCAAGCUGGGCCACAGGUGACUCUUCCAUUAUAAGGCAGAUAUCAUUCAUGAAGAUAGCCAGAGUAGAGACUUACUGUCUUUCACUGUUGGAGGUCAACCUUACAGAGGCCACUCAGGCCUUUUAGAGUAGAGGCUACAGGGAGGUUUUGCAACACAGCUCAGUCUCUAAGGAGAACCCAGGCUGUUAGCUAAAACUGAGUGAUCAGAGGCCCUGCAUAUUUUACUGUCCACUAGAACUUACUCCAAGAGGUCUUCUGAGCCCUGGAGGCAAAGGACACUGUGAGGCAGAGCUGAAAAUGUAAUAGCAUGUGAACAGACUAGGGUACCACAAUGAAAGUCUAUGGGCUUCAAUAGGAAAUAGAGCGGGGGUUCAAAUCCUUCUUAGAUUUAUGGCCUUGGUGGAGUUUUACUUAACUUUCCAGAUUUCAAUUUCUAAAUCUGUAAAAUGGGACUGUUCUGAGGACUGACUAAAUGAACUACAUCAAAGCCUGAUACAGGUACAUUGUUCAACAAAUGUUCCGUUUCACAGAAUCAUUAGGAAAAUUCAAACUCCUCUCCAGUAGGAAAACUACAGCUUGACAAAUCUUUUUUUUCCCCAGAACUGUCAAAACUGACAAAUUGUCAAUUUUGUCAAAUUGUCAAAAAUGACAAUUCUGUCCAUUUUUCCAACGCUUUGUUCUUUCAUUUCUUCUUCUCCCCAAUUUCCUCAAAUCCAGCUCUAUUUCAAAGCAGCUUUAAAUCUAAAGCUUUGACCCAUUUUAAGAUGGGUCAGUUCAGCUAACUACACCUGGCUAAGCCACACCCAGAUUUCUGAUCCAUAGAAACUGUGAAAGAAUAAAUAUUUGUUGUUUUACGCCACUAAUUUUGGGGGUAAUUUGUUACACAGCACUAGAUAAUAAACAUAUCAUUAGUCCUGAGGGAAAUGCAAAUUAAAGCUAUAAUGAGAUACCACUAUAUACUAAAAGGGGUAAAAUUUAAAAGAUUGUACAAAUAGGUUUUGGUGAACAGAUGAAGUAAUUCAAACUCACCUACUGCUAACAGAAAUAAAAGAAAUACAGCCACUUUGUGAAAAGUUUAGCAAUUUCUUAAAAAUUUAAGAAAUUGGUCAGAUGGUAGAUAGAUGUCUACCAUCUGACCCAGAUAUUCUUCUCCUACGUAUUUAUUGAAGGUAUUUAGCCACACAAAGACUUAUACAAAAC